GGUGAACUAUGCCUGGCCAGGACGAAGUCAGGGGAAACCCUGAAUGGAGGUCCGUAGCAAUUCUGACGUGCAAAUCGAUUGUCAGAGCUGGGUAUAGGGGCGAAAGACUAAUCGAACCAUCUAGUAGCUGGUUCCCUCCGAAGUUUCCCUCAGGAUAGCUGGCACUCUCUAGGAGUCCCAUCCGGUAAAGCGAAUGAUUAGAGGCCUUGGGGACGAAACGCCCUCAACCUAUUCUCAAACUUUAAAUGGGUGGGAUCCGCGGCUGUCUCGAAAGAUGUAGCCGCGGGCCUGGAUCGGAGAGCUAAGUGGGCCAUUUUUGGUAAGCAGAACUGGCGCUGUGGGAUGAACCAAACGCCGGGUUAAGGCGCCUAAUGAACGCUCAUCGGACACCAUGAAAGGUGUUGGUUGCUAGAGACAGCAGGACGGUGGCCAUGGAAGUCGGAAUCCGCUAAGGAGUGUGUAACAACUCACCUGCCGAAGCAACUAGCCCUGAAAAUGGAUGGCGCUGAAGCGUUCAGCCUAUACCCGGCCGCCGGUGUCAAAGUCGUCGGUGCCUCACGGCCCGGCGACUCCAUACACCGGCGAGUAGGAGGGUCGCGACGGUGUGCGCAGAAGGGUCUGGGCGCGAGCCUGCCUGGAGCCGCCGUCGGUGCAGAUCUUGGUGGUAGUAGCAUUACGGAACCUGGUUGCGGAGCCGAUAACACAGAUCCUUGUAUUAACGCGGUAACGCGAAUCACCCCAGAGACGCCGUCUGGAGCCCCGGGAAGAGUUUUCUUUUCUCGUUGAGCGUUUAGGUUCCAUGAAAUUCCCUUAACGGGGAGAUAUGGAAUAAAACGCGAAGAGCACCGCAGUUGCUGCGGUGUCCGGGGAUUCUCGUCGGCCCUUGAAAAUCUGGGUAAGGGUCACGUGGAGGAGUCGCACCAGCUCGUACCCAUAUCCGCAGCAGGUCUCCAAGGUCCAGAGCCUCU
RNAcentral lists this ribosomal RNA (968 nucleotides) under Teloganopsis media. Its description in RNAcentral is "eukaryotic LSU rRNA". It matches the Rfam family "Eukaryotic large subunit ribosomal RNA", at positions 825 to 1884 of the family's 3401-position model. Lineage: Eukaryota; Metazoa; Arthropoda; Insecta; Ephemeroptera; Ephemerellidae. The record is from RNAcentral.